AUUCCAGCUCCAAUAGCGUAUAUUAAAGUUGUUGCAGUUAAAAAGCUCGUAGUUGGAUUUGUGGUUGGGUCUGUCGGUCCGGCACAUUGUGCGGGUACUUGAUGGACUCGUCCAUCCUUGGGUGGAAUCUGUGUGGCAUUAAGUUGUCGUGCAGGGGAUGCCCAUCGUUUACUGUGAAAAAAUUAGAGUGUUCAAAGCAGGCUUAUGCCGUUGAAUAUAUUAGCAUGGAAUAAUGAGAUAGGACCUUGGUACUAUUUUGUUGGUUUGCGCACCGAGGUAAUGAUUAAUAGGGACAGUUGGGGGUAUUCGUAUUCCAUUGUCAGAGGUGAAAUUCUUGGAUUUUUGGAAGACGAACUACUGCGAAAGCAUUUACCAAGGAUGUUUUCAUUAAUCAAGAACGAAAGUUAGGGGAUCGAAGAUGAUUAAAUACCAUCGUAGUCGUCA
This 444-nucleotide ribosomal RNA is filed under the name Grammonema sp. NE-2015. RNAcentral describes it as "SSU rRNA". It matches the Rfam family "Eukaryotic small subunit ribosomal RNA", at positions 582 to 1029 of the family's 1831-position model. The record is from RNAcentral. Lineage: Eukaryota; Bacillariophyta; Fragilariophyceae; Fragilariales; Fragilariaceae.